RNAcentral lists this ribosomal RNA (497 nucleotides) under uncultured bacterium. RNAcentral's name for it is "partial 16S ribosomal RNA". It matches the Rfam family "Bacterial small subunit ribosomal RNA", at positions 28 to 507 of the family's 1533-position model. The record is from RNAcentral.
GAUGAACGCUGGCGGCGUGCCUAAUACAUGCAAGUCGAGCGAACGGACGAGAAGCUUGCUUCUCUGAUGUUAGCGGCGGACGGGUGAGUAACACGUGGAUAACCUACCUAUAAGACUGGGAUAACUUCGGGAAACCGGAGCUAAUACCGGAUAAUAUUUUGAACCGCAUGGUUCAAAAGUGAAAGACGGUCUUGCUGUCACUUAUAGAUGGAUCCGCGCUGCAUUAACUAGUUGGUAAGGUAACGGCUUACCAAGGCAACGAUGCAUAGCCGACCUGAGAGGGUGAUCGGCCACACUGGAACUGAGACACGGUCCAGACUCCUACGGGAGGCAGCAGUAGGGAAUCUUCCGCAAUGGGCGAAAGCCUGACGGAGCAACGCCGCGUGAGUGAUGGAGGUCUUCGGAUCGUAAAACUCUGUUAUUAGGGAAGAACAUAUGUGUAAGUAACUGUGCACAUCUUGACGGUACCUAAUCAGAAAGCCACGGCUAACUACGUG